Molecule: transfer RNA, 86 nt
Organism: Gloeophyllum trabeum ATCC 11539
Lineage: Eukaryota; Fungi; Basidiomycota; Agaricomycetes; Gloeophyllales; Gloeophyllaceae
Rfam family: tRNA
About the family: Transfer RNA (tRNA) molecules are approximately 80 nucleotides in length. Their secondary structure includes four short double-helical elements and three loops (D, anti-codon, and T loops).
Source: Rfam
GGCCGCCUGGCGAAAUGGCAUCGCGUCUGACUACGAUCUGCGUGUUGUUUAUCAGGAGAUUGCAGGUUCGAGCCCUGCGGUGGUCA